RNAcentral lists this ribosomal RNA (253 nucleotides) under uncultured archaeon. RNAcentral describes it as "partial 16S ribosomal RNA". It matches the Rfam family "Archaeal small subunit ribosomal RNA", at positions 474 to 727 of the family's 1478-position model. The record is from RNAcentral.
AACCAGCACCUCAAGUGGUCAGGAGGAUUAUUGGGCCUAAAGCAUCCGUAGCCGGCUUUGUUAGUUUUCGGUUAAAUCCAUGCGCUCAACGCAUGGGCUGUCGGAAAUACUGCAGAGCUAGGGAGUGGGAGAGGUAGACGGUACUCAGUAGGAAGGGGUAAAAUCCUUUGAUCUAUUGAUGACCACCUGUGGCGAAGGCGGUCUACCAGAACACGUUCGACGGUGAGGGAUGAAAGCUGGGGGAGCAAACCGG